GUGUGUGUGCGAUUGUACCCUGUGAUGGGUUGGCACCCUGUCCAGGGUGUCCCCCGCCUUAUGCCCUGAGUUCCCUGAGAUAGGCUUCAGACUCCCCACGACCCUGUACCAAAGAGAGGAAGUUCAAAGGAAGAGCCACCUCACUGGAAAACUUGCAAACUUCUUUUCAGCAUUUCUUGCAGAUUUCUUUUCAAUCACAAACUGUGAAAUGCAAAAAUAAGAACAAACUAUAAAUGUACAGAAGUGUGCAUGGGCUCACAGAAAAUAAGACAUAAGAUUGGCGCAUUGCAUAUUUUUGGAAUCUUCAUGACCAUCAGUGUAUAUGGUAUGUGGCGCAAAUGUGUUUGAGUGAAUUCAUCAUUAGGAGGUGUGGUGCGAUAAAGAUGUGAUAGCUAAUCAAAUCAGCUCCCUUUAAGAAUCAAGUGCAGCACAGUGACACUUUUGUAAUGACAUACAAAUAGAUUUUACUUACAGAUAUAAAUGUAUACUAGUAACAAUAAUGAGCUGACUGAGAGGACCUACAGCAAAAAUAUUUCUGUUCUCCUUUUUGCUGUGAAUAGAUUUUAUGUUGAUAUUUUUGUGGCGGUGUAAUAAAUGUGUAAUAAUAGUAGAAUAAGGACAGAAUGACACCGAUAAAAUGACACUCAAUCCAUGUCAGCACAGUGCAUUCAUUUAUGACCGCAAAAAGAGAAACUUGCGCAAAAGAGAAAAAAAUAGGCUAUUUCGGUCAACCAAAAUAGCAACACGUCAUCGUUAUCCAGUAAAUUGCACUUGCAUUGGUGCAAAAAUAGACACGCAUGUACCUUGUCAGCUCCCAGCAGAUAGAAGAUUAAGUAUUUCAUGUUCAAAGCCCCAUAAGAAAAGAAAAAAAAGAGGAGAUUUUUAAUCAUGCUAUUCUGGCUUUACAUCACAGGUCACCCGGUGGUUACGUACACUUAUUUCUUGAUUCACACAAACAUUUACAGUAUCUUAGACAGAGUAGGGACUGAGAAAGUACACCAGCUAUUCCAUGUCCUGUGUCCUUCUGGAGCUACAUCAGUCAUAAACCUUUGUGUCAAUUAUAUACCAACAUAUUGCUGAGUAGAUUGUGCAAGAAGUAUGACUCCGGGUUAUUCUGCUUGCACAUUUCUCAUAAACACACUGCUCAAAUGGGCUGUUACACAUUUAUUCUCUGAGUAUAAAGCUCUUAAAACAUCCAACCCCUCCUGACCUGGUUUUAGCUUACAGCUGCGAUUGAAGAGCAUAUAGCAACAAGUCCCAGCACUGUUUCACACCCAGUCUAUCCUUGAGGAUUAAGAGAUCAAUCUAGACGGCAUUAAAAAUUUUCAAUGGUAACACAAACAUGGUCUCGUCAAUCGUUUAGGCUGUGAUUUAAAGGAUGCUGCAACAUGGAUUUGAUAAACACAUCAUUUGAAAAACAUAUGCAGCAUAAUAUAUUUAGGAAAUAUCUAUAUUGUACCCUGGGAAGUAUAAUGUUCUUAUAUGGUUUUUUCCCCUCAUUGUUUGCAUAUUGACCACAAUCAUAAUUUGCACAUGGCUUACAGUAAAAACGUGAUGAGACAAAUUGCAGGUCUUUCACCUGAAUUAGGGCUUGAAAAGGCUUUAAUGAUACCAGUUCCAGAGAACACUUUGUUUCCAGGGAAACAGGAGCAAGUGUCUGAGUGAGUGUGUGUGUGUGUGUGUCAGUGAAAGAGAGGGAGGGUUUGUGUGUGUGUGCAUGCGUGUAUGUGUAGCCAAAGGACUGGUAUAAACAUGGUUUACUUCUAAAUGGACCACUCUGCCAAGAACUCCCAAGACUCCUGAGAAGUUAAUAAUAUUCCAAACAUUUAGAGCUAUGCACUCUGCACAUUCUACAGGCGAAUGUGUACAGAAUGAAAGAUACACACAAACUAGUUCAUUUGCACACACACCAGCUGUGCAACAAUGCAAUUACAGAAUUUUUAAUACUGGCAUCAUUAUAAUUCAGUUUAAAAGACAAAUGUUAGGCGUGGCUGUUCUUGGAUGCUGAUAUGAAGUUGUGAUGGGUUUUUAUUACCUCCACGAAACAUAUUCUAUUAACUUAUUCAUGAAACACAUAUUUAUUCCCGGCAACAGAUAUUUUUAUCUUUAAUCUUUGUUGACCCAUUAGUGUUCAGCAUUGAAUAUGCUGCAAAAUACAUUGUUUGUAAGAUACUGUUAAAUUGUUGUGCAAUACUGAUUUCACGGAAGGCAGCAUGUGACAUGAACAAAUCGCUAUUGAAACGAACCACAUAGUUUAGAUGUCACAGAUGUUCAUAAUGAGAGUUUCUGGAUGAAUAACAGUAUUCACAAUAAAUUUAAAUAGUUUUAGACAGACUCAUGCAGGUAAAUUUUUAACCAUGCAGAAUCAAUGGUUAAAUAUCCAGGACACAUUAGCAGGUCUAGCCUUGCAUUCUUUACUCUUGUAACUAUAUCAUUUUCCUAACAUAUUCCCUUUAGUUACUGUAUAAUUCAUAGCAGAUACUGCAUUACUGAAGUUUAGUAUUAGUACUGCAUUAGUGAAGAUUAAUAAAGCUCAGGGUUCAAGGGGUUAAUAUAUUGAAAAGUAUGUAGUGAUCAUAAAAUAUAGCAGUACUUUGUCAUGCCCAUGUCAUGCUGCCCUAAUUCAGACUCAAUGUAAUGUAAACUGUUUAAGGUGCUUUUUAAAGAGGGGGUUAAAAUGAAAUGUACAGACAUACUGUUUAUUCAUAGUAUUAAGUGAGGUUACACUAUACACCAUUUUAAAAUCAAAGCAUAGUCAGACCCACUUUACUAAUAGUCUUUCAUUGUGAGAAGGAGCACAACAUAGUGUGUGUGUGUGUGUGUGUGUGUGUGUGUGUGUGUGUGUGUGUGUGUGUGUGUGUGUGUGUGUGUGUGCACGCACAGUGAUUAUCUGGGGCCCAGGGUGUCCGAAAGCUGCUAACUCAUUCCAACUCAGUGAUGACUGGUUUGACAUUUUAGAAGGCUUAAUCAUAAUCAUGUUUUUUUCCCUAAACACUGGGGGAAAAGCUUGGGGGAAAAACAUAAUUAUCUAUUUUGUUUCUUUUUAAGUGCCUGUGUUGGUGUGAUGUUAAUGUACAUGCAUUUCCAGCAUCAAAUGAUAAAAACCUCAAAGAAAAACUGAAAAAUAUUGCCCUAAAACAACACAUACUCUCAAUUCCUCAUUUCAUACUCUCUCUCUCUCUCUCUCUCUCUCUCUCUCUCUCUCUCUCUCUCUCGAACACACGCACUCACAGCUCUCUUUCUUGUGCAUUUUUCUUUCAUGAUUUAUUCAGACCUUUUCCCAUUUUUUCUUUUUAGACUUUAAAAAAAAACUAUAUUAUAGGAUAAGUUAGACAAAAAUGGCACAUACAUAUACCAUGAGGUGUCAAAACCUUGGUCCAAAUAUAAUAAUAGACAAGUAUGCAUGUAUACUGCAAUCUCUGAGUGUAACAAUAUGCUCACUGUUACAUAACAUGGUACGUAGCUGUGGUAAGCUCAGAUAAAACAAUAUGACAAGCACAAGAGGGUCAAAUGAAAGCUCAUGUCAUGUAUUUCAGGCUAGCUGUAAUCUUCAGUAUAUAUUGUGUUAAUGGGUGAAUUGAAUGAUGAGAUGCAUUGCUGUAUAGCAAAUAGUACUGAUUCGUCAGCCUCCUGUUACACACCCAAAUAUCCCUUAAUAAUUGUCUUACAAGGAAGCAAAACCGUUUGACCAUUAUGAGAAUUCGCCAGGGACUCCUUGGGGAUUCCUCGCAAAUAGGCUACUUUUUCCUCCCUCAGCCAUCGUUUUUUCUCCAGUAUCUUCUUUAUCCCCUCCUCCAUUUUUUUCAUGAAUCCAUUUUUCCAACACAUACACAGAGGAAGACAAACUGAUCCACAAAACAAACUGAUCCAAAAACAUUUUCUAACAGGCUCCAUUCCACACACAGCACACUGUGGAAGUGAAUUCUUCCCUUAAUCUUUAUUUAAUGAUAAGCUAUGAAGCUCUUUUGGGAGUCUUCUUCUGUCCAUGUUAACGAUGAUGUACACUGACACACAUGCAAUAGCUAUGGAUGAGUGGUGUCUCCAGACAGCACCGCCCUGAUGGAACGUUCUACACGCAGCCACAAGCUCACACACAAAGACAUUGCUCUCAAACUACAUUAAUCACAUACACAUGUAAACCCAGACAUGGACAUUCAGCCAAAAAUGCACUGAUGAGGAAAUGCCACAUUUUCUCAAACUCAAUUUUGUUGGGUUCUGAUGUAACGCCCACCUAUCUCACACAUAGAUCUCCCUCUUACACUUGCAUACACAAGUACACAUCCGUAGCAUCUUCCUUUUUCACAGUGAGCUGAUGUAAAUGUCUGCAGCUUACCUUCUCAGAGAGAUUAUGUAUUUGUUUAUUUCGUCUCGGAGACUCCAAUAUUGCACAGGAUGCAGUAGUAGUAGCCAAAGGUUCUCUCACACACUGUCCCUCUUCCUGACACUUUUGCAACACACACAUACACACACACACACUGUCUGCUACACCACUCUGGCUGACAGCCCUUCUCAUGCUCCGCCCAACAGCUAGUGGAAUCACUCAGGAAGCCAACUCAAACCCACUUCCCCCUCUCUCUGGGAACACACACUUGCACAUAGCCAGACAUUGUCCAAAGGAAAAUACAAUAGCUCAUACCUGCUCUCCUCCUAUAGAUGCUUCAUCCUACAGUCACACUAUUGCUUUCAUGCCCCUUUAUCUUGUUCUGCCAGGCAUGUUUUAUAUUUGUGCACCUGAGACACUAAUUUCAGUGUAUGUGAUGUGAUGCAGUUCUGCCCAGUAGAAUUGCUCCUCUAUACAACCUAGUCUUUCACAGCAUGCACAGGGCAGCCAGUCCUGUGCUGUUGCUCUGGUACAGUGUUGAGAGCAAGAACAGAUAAAUGUGCACAAUUG
Long non-coding RNA from Ictalurus punctatus (channel catfish), 4891 nucleotides. NCBI's taxonomy places the organism in Eukaryota, Metazoa, Chordata, Actinopteri, Siluriformes, Ictaluridae. The record is from Ensembl.